Molecule: long non-coding RNA, 694 nt
Filed under: Homo sapiens (human)
Lineage: Eukaryota; Metazoa; Chordata; Mammalia; Primates; Hominidae
Description: long intergenic non-protein coding RNA 2429
Source: RNAcentral
CUCUGUCAAACUAAGCGUAAGUGGUUCACAGUCUGUACCACAGCUAAAUUUAAAAGCUGAGAACCCACUCUAUCAACAUUAAACAGCGGCAGUUCCUGUAAGUUUUUAAGGGUUAUUGGAAGAUGACUUUACUUGUCUUCAUACAGUUUCACCUAAAUUAUGUUGGUGCUGUUGCUUUAGGACCUUCAGACCUGGAUGGGGACGUAUGAUAAGGAUCCUGGUUCUCAGGCCUUCUGGUCUGCACUGUAGCUAUACCUCCAGCUUUCCUGUGCUGUCAGUUUGGAGACAGCAGGUCAUGAGACUUCACUGCAUUCAUAAUUAUGUGAGCCAGUUUGUCAUGGUAAAUAUGUAUGUAUGCAUGUAUGUAUCCAUCCAUCCAUCCUGUUGAUUCUGUUUCUCUGGAGAACGCUGAUUAAAACACCUCUCUGCCUUCAGAACCCUUUUUCUUUCCUCUGACGUAUUAAUACUUUGAAUUUUAUAGAGAGAUAUUACAUGAGCAGAUGUGGCAACAUUAUUGAAUAUAAAAUGGUUAAUUUUGCUGCAUCACCCAAUUUUCUUACUCUGAUAAAAACUAUAAUGUAAGAAAUGAGAUAAUAAUUAUAAGUGAUUAUGACAAGUGUAAUAAUAACAUCACUUUUAUGGGGAAAUAAGGAAAAGCAAUAAUUUAUAAUGAAAUAAAAACUAAUGAUCAACA